UACGUAGGGUGCAAGCGUUAUCCGGAAUUAUUGGGCGUAAAGAGCUCGUAGGCGGUUUGUCGCGUCUGCUGUGAAAAACUGGAGGCUCAACCUCCAGCCUGCAGUGGGUACGGGCAGACUAGAGUGCGGUAGGGGAGAUUGGAAUUCCUGGUGUAGCGGUGGAAUGCGCAGAUAUCAGGAGGAACACCGAUGGCGAAGGCAGAUCUCUGGGCCGUAACUGACGCUGAGGAGCGAAAGCGUGGGGAGCGAACAG
This 253-nucleotide ribosomal RNA is filed under the name uncultured bacterium. RNAcentral describes it as "partial 16S ribosomal RNA". It matches the Rfam family "Bacterial small subunit ribosomal RNA", at positions 524 to 775 of the family's 1533-position model. The record is from RNAcentral.